RNAcentral lists this ribosomal RNA (901 nucleotides) under uncultured archaeon. RNAcentral's name for it is "bacterial SSU rRNA". It matches the Rfam family "Archaeal small subunit ribosomal RNA", at positions 20 to 922 of the family's 1478-position model. The record is from RNAcentral.
GAAGCCAUUGCUAUUGGAGUCCGAUUUAGCCAUGCUAGUCGUACGGGUUUAGACCCGUGGCGAAUAGCUCAGUAACACGUGGCCGAACUACCCUCUGGAUCAGAACAACCUCGGGAAACUGAGGCUAAUUCUGAAUAAGAUUUCCAUCCUUGAAUGGAGGAAAUUGGAAACGUUCCGACGCCAGAGGAUGUGGCUGCGGCCGAUUAGGUAGACGGUGGGGUAACGGCCCACCGUGCCAAUAAUCGGUACGAGUUGUGAGAGCAAGAGCUCGGAGAUGGAUUCUGAGACAAGAAUCCAGGCCCUACGGGGCGCAGCAGGCGCGAAACCUUUACACUGCACGAGAGUGCGAUAAGGGGACUCCAAGUGCGAGGGCAUAUCGCCCUCGCUUUUGUACAUCGUAAGGUGAUGUACGAAUAAGAGCUGGGCAAGACCGGUGCCAGCCGCCGCGGUAAUACCGGCAGCUCGAGUGAUGGCCGAUAUUAUUGGGCUUAAAGCGUCCGUAGCCGGCCAGAUAAGUCCGUUGGGAAAUCUGCUUGCUCAACGAGCAGACGUCCAGCGGAAACUGUCUGGCUUGGGGCCGGAAGGUCUGAGGGGUACGUCUGGGGUAGGAGUGAAAUCCUGUAAUCCUGGACGGACCGCCGAUGGCGAAAGCACCUCAGAAGGACGGACCCGACGGUAAGGGACGAAAGCUAAGGUCACGAACCGGAUUAGAUACCCGGGUAGUCUUAGCUGUAAACAAUGCUCGUUAGGUGUGGCACUGGCUACGAGCCAGUGCUGUGCAGUAGGGAAACCGAUAAACGAGCCGCCUGGGAAGUACGUCCGCAAGGAUGAAACUUAAAGGAAUUGGCGGGGGAGCACUACAACCGGAGGAGCCUGCGGUUUAAUUGGAUUCAACGCCGGG